Molecule: unclassified non-coding RNA, 231 nt
Filed under: fungal sp.
Lineage: Eukaryota; Fungi
Description: partial internal transcribed spacer region
Rfam family: Eukaryotic small subunit ribosomal RNA (bases 1-46)
Source: RNAcentral
AAGUCGUAACAAGGUCUCCGUUGGUGAACCAGCGGAGGGAUCAUUACCGAGUUUACAACUCCCAAACCCCUGUGAACAUACCUACGUUGCUUCGGCGGACCACCCCAACCCCCUCGGGGCGAGGGGCCGCCAGAGGACCCAAAACCCAACUGUUUUUUUCCGUAACGAAACCUAUUCUGAGUGGAAUUAUUAAAUAAAUCAAAACUUUCAACAACGGAUCUCUUGGCUCUG